Triticum dicoccoides is the source of this 357-nucleotide long non-coding RNA. RefSeq lists it as uncharacterized. The transcript has 2 exons. Lineage: Eukaryota; Viridiplantae; Streptophyta; Magnoliopsida; Poales; Poaceae. The record is from RefSeq and is a predicted model, not a curated record.
CACCAUAACGAGAGACAGCGGCGUUCCGGCCAUGGUGUACACGCACGGCGGUGGCCGUGGCCGUGCGGACCCUAAGGCCGGCAUGCUCAUAAACGCACAGCGGAGCCCAUGAUCUCAAGUGGCGAGGAUGAGCAGCACCAGUGGCGCCAAGGUGAUGUAGUCGUGGAGAGGCAGCAGCUCACCCAGGAGCUUCGCGGUGGCAGCAGGAAACCGCCGGCACAGCCUUGCGGCGGCUGGCGAUGGAAACGGCCUUCCCAUUGCGUAACACACCCCUAGAUCGGUAGGUUUGAGGGAAUUAAGGGGCUAGAUAUCAUGUACGUGAACUCAGGUGCCAUAAGUAUCCAGGCCCCACCCUUU